GGCUCAGGAUGAACGCUGGCGGCGUGCCUAAUACAUGCAAGUCGAGCGAAUGGAUUAAGAGCUUGCUCUUAUGAAGUUAGCGGCGGACGGGUGAGUAACACGUGGGUAACCUGCCCAUAAGACUGGGAUAACUCCGGGAAACCGGGGCUAAUACCGGAUAACAUUUUGAACCGCAUGGUUCGAAAUUGAAAGGCGGCUUCGGCUGUCACUUAUGGAUGGACCCGCGUCGCAUUAGCUAGUUGGUGAGGUAACGGCUCACCAAGGCAACGAUGCGUAGCCGACCUGAGAGGGUGAUCGGCCACACUGGGACUGAGACACGGCCCAGACUCCUACGGGAGGCAGCAGUAGGGAAUCUUCCGCAAUGGACGAAAGUCUGACGGAGCAACGCCGCGUGAGUGAUGAAGGCUUUCGGGUCGUAAAACUCUGUUGUUAGGGAAGAACAAGUGCUAGUUGAAUAAGCUGGCACCUUGACGGUACCUAACCAGAAAGCCACGGCUAACUACGU
RNAcentral lists this ribosomal RNA (505 nucleotides) under Bacillus cereus. RNAcentral's name for it is "bacterial SSU rRNA". It matches the Rfam family "Bacterial small subunit ribosomal RNA", at positions 21 to 506 of the family's 1533-position model. Lineage: Bacteria; Bacillati; Bacillota; Bacilli; Caryophanales; Bacillaceae. The record is from RNAcentral.